UUAUACAAAAAUAUAAUAUAUUUGAGUAAAUUUGUAUAGAAUACAAUGUGUUUGUAUCAUUAUAUGUGAUUAAAUAGCACAUAAUGGAAGAAAGUUCACCGAAUAUGAUAUUUUUCGGUCAACAAAAUAUUGUAUACAUUGUAUAAAACUAAUAAUAAAAAUGAAAAAAGACCUCGACCCUCAAACUUCUUCGGUGUAAAAAAUAUUAAUUACAAUAUUCGUGUAGAGGAAUCCAUUGCAAUUAAUAUUCGGUGUAGAGAAAGGCGCAGCCUCUUUCUUUCUACUAUUGUUAUACAAAUUCAUUGCAAAUAUCCAGCGUAGAAACUGAGCAGUACAAAUCCAUAAUUCCAUUACAAUAAUAUCCGACGUAUAAACUAAGAAAGUAUUCUGCUUGAACAUAGAGAACGAGAGUAAGAAGAGAGAGAGACAGAAGAAAUAUUUUUUUGGGAUUUUGAAAGAGAAUAAAUCGUGUGUUAAUUGAAAGAAAGAGAGAGAAUGAAGAGAGAGAAGGAAGAGAGAAAGAGAGAAAGAGGAAAAAAUAUGAAAGAGAAUCUUGUGUUAAUUGAAAGAAAGAGAGAGAAAAAUAUAAUUAGUAUAUUUCAUGUAUUAAUGAUAAUAUAUAUCAUAAAUAUAUAUAUCAUAAAUAUAUAUUUUGUCAUAAAAUAUAAAAGAUAACUAUAGAAAAUAAUAUUUUAAAAUAAUUUUAGUUUAUAAUAAAUAAGAUAUAUAUCUUUACUAUAGGAGAUAAAAAAAACUUAUUUUGUUCAUGUAAAAAAACUCCUCCCAUGAAAACUUUAUGCUUAUAAAUUGUCCAAACUCACAAUAAAAUAUUAGAUAAGAUUGCUUCAAGGAAGAGAGAGAGAGGGGGCGCAUGUUAGCAAGGCUAGCUAAUCUGCGCGUUCAGCCAUGGCUAGACACAGGAAGAAGACUCAAGUGACAAUGGAUGCAAAGGAUGAAGAUAGUAGAAUAGUAACACCUGCACUCAAUCAACCUACUCGCUGGUUAACAGGUACGGGAUCGGCAAGAUGCAAAGGAUGACGAUAGUAUAAUAGUAACACCUGCACUCAAUCAACCUACUCGCUGGUUAACAGGUAUGGGAUCAACACCUACAAUUUUUCAUAAACCAGCUAGGGAUGAUAGAAACAAUGGAACGAUAAUAACACCAGAGACAUGAAUUCAACAUAAAUUGCACUCGGUAACUUUUGGAAGCUUUUUACCACAAAAAUUUCAACCAAUUAGUGAGGGAAUUGAUGAAGGUGAGGAGCAAAAUCUGGUGAUGGACAAUGCAGAAUCACAACAAGUCCACCGGCGACUCCAAUUCUCAGCACAAGAUAAUCCAGGUCAGAUCUGGCAGGAUUUGGGAGGUUCAAAGGGAGUUGAAGGCAAAAGAGAAUCCAUGUAGAAGAAUCGAAGCUCUCAAAGGAGGAAACCACUAUGUUAUGUACCACCUGCUAUGCGGGAUGGUACAUUUGUAGUACAAAUUAAAGAGGAGGAUACAAAGUAACAAGAAGCAUACGGGAGCAAUGCACUGGUGGGUUUUGUGCUUGGAGAAGACCCGUAUGAGCGAACAAUGGAUAACUACAUUACAAACGUGUGGAAUUUUGUUGAAAAACCUCAAAUGAUGUAUCAUGAGGAAGGGUACUAUAUCUUCAGGUUUGAUAAUAGUGAUGAUAGGGAUCAAAACCCCUCAAAUGUUGUAUCAUGAGGAAGGGUACUAUAUUUUCAGGUUUGACCUUUAGGCAUGUCCUUACACUUUUCAUAACAAACCAUUUAUGCUGCAACAAUGGAGAAAGGAUUUCAGAUUUGAUCCAGGAAGUGUGAGUAUAAUUCCAUUGCGGAUUACUUUCCCAGGACUUCCAUUGGGUUUUGGUCAACUGAAGCUCUUAGUAAGCUAGCUAGCGUGGUUGGGAAUCCUAUGUAUACUAAUAGAAUUACUGCUGAAUUGGAAAAGGUAUCCUACGCGAGAUUACUGGUGGAAACAGAUAUAUCCAAUCCCCUUCCUGAUAGUUUUGAACUAUAAACAAAGAGGGGAGUUAUAACUCAACAGAUUGAAUAUGAAUGGAAGCCAAAGUAUUGUUGUGAAUGUGUAAGAUUUGGACGUAAUUCAGAAGAGUGUUGGAAUAAGGAGCUGCAAGAAAAAGAAGAGAUAGCAAAGCCUCAACCAAAGGAAGCAGGGGAAAAGAAACUACUGGUAGAGUGCUGGUAUAAGGAGUUGCAGGAAAAAGAAGAGAUAACAAAGCCUCAAUCAAAGGAAGCAGGGGAAAAGAAACUACUACAGAGAGGGACUUUGAAAUGGGUUCCAAAAGAUUAGAAGGAAUGAUAUAAGCCGUAUUGCAACUAAACGACCCCUUAUUAUAUGUUUACCGUCAAUUUUUAAAUUUACGCUAUUGGACGGACGGCUAUUUGGAUUAUUUCUUCUUUCAGAAUCAAAGGUCCAGGCCACUUUGUUGUAUGGCCCAGAGUAACAAAGAAAGGCAACUCGGUGUCAAUGGCCAAUGCUCGGUCCAUCCAGCCAAUCACUUAAAAUUUUAUAUAUAUAUAUAUGAAUUCAGCCG
RNAcentral lists this long non-coding RNA (2555 nucleotides) under Nicotiana benthamiana. Its description in RNAcentral is "long non-coding RNA (NBEN_LNC015667)". The record is from RNAcentral. Lineage: Eukaryota; Viridiplantae; Streptophyta; Magnoliopsida; Solanales; Solanaceae.